CUGUAGUAGCAGUAGCAGUGGCAAAAGUGGUGCUGGUGGUGGGGAGAUAGUAGUAGUUCUUGUUGUAGCUGUUGUUGUAGUAGUAGUUUAUAAUUAGUUUCUUCAAUGUCUAUCUCUUAUGUAAGUUCAUAAGCACGACAUACGCUCUUACGUGCGUACGUGCGCACUUAAGCACGCAUGUAUGUAUGUAUUGUGUAUGCAUUUAUGUAUGUGUAUGCAUAUAUGUAUGUGACACUCGUUUAGCAUAUCAUUCAGUUGUAGUAGUUGUCAUGAUUGUGUCCAUAACAAGGAAGACAAAGUAUCUCAUCAAUAAGAUCAUAACGCCAUAUUGGAAAAAAAAGAUACUUAAAACAGAAACAAAUCACACGUUAACACUGUACCAUAUGUUCUUACUUGUUUACAACUUAUAAAAGUACGACGAUAGUUCGCUUAUUGCUCCUGAUACAUCUCACUCACUAUCACUUUAUAUAAGAAAACAUUUAAACCUGUACUGUAACAUUUACAAGAAUUUACUAAUUGUUGUUUAAGAGUGAUAUUUCGAAGAAUGUGGACACGAUCGUCACGAGUGAGUCCAAACAGAAAGUUUUCAAAUAACGCACAACAAAUGCAAAAGCAAUCUGAGCAACAACGAAUAUAAUUCAAAUACGAGGAAGAAUAUACGAAUAGAAAUAAGAAUGAAUAUGAAUUUUUUGUAUACAUAUUUGUGUCAACGAAGUCGGUGAAAAUGUAAAAACGCCAUGUUUUUUUUUUAAAGUUUCUGAAAAUAAUUAUUUGCGAGGAAAAUUUAAACAUUAAAAGAAAACGAAGAUAACAAGAAUAAUGACAACGACGAUGAAAGCGACGACAAGUACAAGGACAAACGUUACCAACAAUAACAAUUGCAACAAUAAAAAGGGGAAAAUUGACAACAAAAACGACUUUGAAAUUACGAAUAAAACGACAACAUUAAAAAAUACCAACGACAACGAGAGAAAAGAAAAUAUAAUACUGAUACGACGAAAGAAUUUUCAAGAGAAAGGUGUCCAUCGUCUUACCGCCCCAGAAAAUAUAAAUAAAUGCGGAAGGAAAGAAAAAUUUGAGGGGACUGGAUAUGUACAGAGUAACACAAAAAAAUAACGUAAACUGAUAACGAAAUGAUGUAGAAAACGAAAGGAAAAUGACAAGUAUUAAUAUUAUAAUACAAUAUAGAGGAAAUUAAAUUAAAACAAAAACAAUGAAGGGGAACACCAGCCCGGGAAAGGAAUUAAUAUUGAAAAAAAAUAUAUAUAUAUUUUUGGGAGCGACGUUUUACAGUUAUAAUAUACGUAUAUAUAUAUAUAUAAGUAUGUUCUGAAAAAUAUUGGUACGAAACCACGAAGUGUUGAAAAUCCCAGGAAGCUCGCAUUGAUAUGUUCACGAACACCUUGUUUCCUGGUUUCUCUGCACUCUCCGCAGCAUGCUUGAUGAGAAGAGGCCCUGUAAGGGAGAUCCAUUAUGAUUCUCUCACAGUGAAGCAUAAUCGUUUCUGGGAGUACGAGAAGGAAAGUAAAAGAGUCGCAACUGGACAAUGUGGUGCUGGACUACCCCAUUAGAAGCAUAGAAGUAUGUCGUUUGCCAUAACAUAUCAUACAUAUCUAUCGCCUAGUGGAUGAAAUAGAUUUCAUUUCCGUAAAACAACAAACUGACCAGUCAACGAGCUGACCAAUCAAGGAAGGACACUACGUAGUCGUUCAACCAGCUAGAAAUAGCAAGCGCUCCUAUCUCAAAUCACAAAUCCGUCUUAAAUGAAGGAAGAACUGAAUAUUAUAAUCGCUGAUGCACAGAAACAAGAUCGGAGUAGAUCACACUUGGAAUGAUAUUGGCUGUUAACGAAUAACAAGCAAGUGCUCUAUAUAAUUUAUACUAAACUUGAAACUUGUAGGGUAUCUUCAUAGCGAUGUUCAAGUUGUCUAAGUGUAAUUCUUCUUGCCAUUCAGAAUUAUUCCCUCUCCUUCCUCUCUCUCUCUCUCUCUCUCUCUCCUUCACUUUCUCUCUCUCUCUAAACUAACAGAGAUUAAACAUAAAUUAAUGGAUAAAUCUCCAAAGGUAAGUCAAAGAAUGAACUCAUUUUAUUAUACUAAGAGUAUAGCACACAUGCGUUUACUUCUAUAAAUACAAUAUGCAUACAAAUAUACAAUAAGUAUACAACGCAG
Molecule: long non-coding RNA, 2171 nt
Organism: Octopus sinensis (East Asian common octopus)
Lineage: Eukaryota; Metazoa; Mollusca; Cephalopoda; Octopoda; Octopodidae
Exons: 4
Source: RefSeq, a predicted model, not a curated record